AAAUGAAUAGACGGGGACCCGCACAAGUGGUGGAGCAUGUGGUUUAAUUCGAAGAUACGCGAAAAACCUUACCUAGCCUUGACAUUGAUAGAACCCGCUAGAGAUAGUGGGGUGCCCUUCGGGGAACUUGAAAACAGGUGCUGCACGGCUGUCGUCAGCUCGUGUCGUGAGAUGUUGGGUUAAGUCCCGCAACGAGCGCAACCCUUUUUCUUAGUUGCUAACAGUUUGGCUGAGCACUCUAGGAAUACUGCCUACGCAAGUAGGAGGAAGGCAAGGACGACGUCAAGUCAUCAUGGCCCUUACGGCUAGGGCUACACACGUGCUACAAUGGGACAUACAGAGUGUUGCGAUACCGCGAGGUGGAGCCAAUCACUUAAAAUGUCUCUCAGUUCGGAUUGUUCUCUGCAACUCGAGAGCAUGAAGCUGGAAUCACUAGUAAUCGUAGAUCAGAACUGCUACGGUGAAUACGUUCCCGGGUCUUGUACACACCGCCCGU
This 496-nucleotide ribosomal RNA is filed under the name uncultured bacterium. RNAcentral describes it as "bacterial SSU rRNA". It matches the Rfam family "Bacterial small subunit ribosomal RNA", at positions 903 to 1397 of the family's 1533-position model. The record is from RNAcentral.